AGCCCAGAGCCUGAAUCAGUGUGUGUGUUAGUGGAAGCGUCUGGAAAGGCGCGCGAUACAGGGUGACAGCCCCGUACACAAAAAUGCACAUACUGUGAGCUCGAUGAGUAGGGCGGGACACGUGGUAUCCUGUCUGAAUAUGGGGGGACCAUCCUCCAAGGCUAAAUACUCCUGACUGACCGAUAGUGAACCAGUACCGUGAGGGAAAGGCGAAAAGAA
RNAcentral lists this ribosomal RNA (219 nucleotides) under Escherichia coli. Its description in RNAcentral is "partial 23S ribosomal RNA". It matches the Rfam family "Bacterial large subunit ribosomal RNA", at positions 296 to 523 of the family's 2925-position model. The record is from RNAcentral. Lineage: Bacteria; Pseudomonadati; Pseudomonadota; Gammaproteobacteria; Enterobacterales; Enterobacteriaceae.